UACGUAGGGCGCAAGCGUUGUCCGGAAUUAUUGGGCGUAAAGAGCUCGUAGGCGGUUCGUCGCGUCGGCUGUGAAAUCCCGAGGCUCAACCUCGGGUCUACAGUCGAUACGGGCGGACUGGAGUUCGGCAGGGGAGACUGGAAUUCCUGGUGUAGCGGUGAAAUGCGUAGAUAUCAGGAGGAACACCUGCGGUGUAGACGGCUUACUGGACGGUAACUGACGCUGAGGCACGAAAGCGUGGGUAGCAAACAGG
This 253-nucleotide ribosomal RNA is filed under the name uncultured bacterium. RNAcentral's name for it is "partial 16S ribosomal RNA". It matches the Rfam family "Bacterial small subunit ribosomal RNA", at positions 524 to 776 of the family's 1533-position model. The record is from RNAcentral.